RNAcentral lists this ribosomal RNA (118 nucleotides) under Felis catus (domestic cat). The record is from RNAcentral. Lineage: Eukaryota; Metazoa; Chordata; Mammalia; Carnivora; Felidae.
GUCUACGGCCAUACCACCCUGAAUGCGCCCGAUCUCAUCUGAUCUCGGAAGCUAAGGCAGGGUCGGGCCUGGUUAGUACUUGGAUGGGAGAAAUGGCCAUGACUUGGCGAUGUCCACU